CUUUCCCUCUGGCGGCAGGCCUAACACAUGCAAGUCGAACGGUAACAGGAAGAAGCUUGCUUCUUUGCUGACGAGUGGCGGACGGGUGAGUAAUGUCUGGGAAACUGCCUGAUGGAGGGGGAUAACUACUGGAAACGGUAGCUAAUACCGCAUAACGUCGCAAGACCAAAGAGGGGGACCUUCGGGCCUCUUGCCCUCGGAUGUGCCCAGAUGGGAUUAGCUAGUAGGUGGGGUAACGGCUCACCUAGGCGACGAUCCCUAGCUGGUCUGAGAGGAUGACCAGCCACACUGGAACUGAGACACGGUCCAGACUCCUACGGGAGGCAGCAGUGGGGAAUAUUGCACAAUGGGCGCAAGCCUGAUGCAGCCAUGCCGCGUGUAUGAAGAAGGCCUUCGGGUUGUAAAGUACUUUCAGCGGGGAGGAAGGGAGUAAAGUUAAUACCUUGGCUCAUUGACGUUACCCGCAGAAGAAGCACCGGCUAACUCCGUG
RNAcentral lists this ribosomal RNA (490 nucleotides) under uncultured bacterium. RNAcentral's name for it is "partial 16S ribosomal RNA". It matches the Rfam family "Bacterial small subunit ribosomal RNA", at positions 36 to 507 of the family's 1533-position model. The record is from RNAcentral.